RNAcentral lists this ribosomal RNA (253 nucleotides) under uncultured bacterium. RNAcentral's name for it is "partial 16S ribosomal RNA". It matches the Rfam family "Bacterial small subunit ribosomal RNA", at positions 524 to 776 of the family's 1533-position model. The record is from RNAcentral.
UACGUAGGGGGCAAGCGUUGUCCGGAUUUAUUGGGCGUAAAGAGCGUGUAGGCGGCCUGGAAGGUCAGCUGUGAAAACUCGAGGCUCAACCUCGAGACGUCGGUUGAAACCACCUGGCUAGAGUCCGGAAGAGGAGAAUGGAAUUCCCGGUGUAGCGGUGAAAUGCGCAGAUAUCGGGAAGAACACCCGUGGCGAAGGCGGCGACCUGGGACAAUACUGACACUGAGGUGCGAAAGCGUGGGGAGCAAACAGG